UAGCCAGUUAUCAAUGCUACAUAGUAGAUUUUAGCCUGUUCCAAUCAUCCUUAUAUCGCGUUAAUGGAAUUUAUGAAAUUGCCUACCGUUCAAAUCGCUCUCUGUUGUUAGCACCACACUGAUUAACUACGAUGUUCCAAUUUUUUAGAAUUAUGUCCGACAUAAUUCUAAUUUUUGCUGUUACAGCAGAUAGUUAUGGUGUAAUGGCACGCAGGAAUAAGUCAUCCCUGUCCUCCAAAAAGCCCAUGAAAAGGUAUUUGGUAAGCUAUGUCUUUUCCAAUAUCAAAUCCAAUGUAUCACAAUCUGUGGACUUUCUACUCAAAAACUAGAUUGAUUAAUUGAUAAUUCAUUGCUGAUUGUUCACGCGCCCUGUAUGGAAGUAUAUAAAUGGUAAUCCGCAUACUCCAGGAAGAAUUGAAGCAAUCUCAAAAGAAAAGAAGGGAAUCUGGAUCCUUCGUCGGAUCGUCAAAGAGCUUAGAGGGGAGCUCUACGCUUCACUGGCCAUGCAAAGCAGGGAGAGUGACGGAGGCGGAGGCACUGCUGGCUGCUGGAACGGACAUUAACAAGCUGGACAGAACGCAGUUUAACCCUUUCAUGGACGCGAUCAACUCAGGACAGGUCGACUGUGCUAGAUGGCUGCUGAGGCAAGACGGUUUAAAGCUUCAGACCGAGAUAUGGUCGUUUUGUAGGGAGAGGGUGCUAGAGUCAUUGCUAACAGCUUAACAGAAGGUAGGGAGAGCGAUCCAUGGCUGUCCCGAUAGACCCACUCAGACUCCUGCCGGAAGAUACUCCUCCGGUUGAUCCAGAUGAGACAGUUCUAGCAGAUGAUCAGUUACAGACUGAAGAACAUAUCCCACAGAUCAAUGCGUCAACAUCUGCAAAUGAAGCUGAUAUCAGAAUCGACAUGAUGAUGGUACUACACGAGAUGCUCAUGGAAAAGGUCUCCGUUUGCUUUCCUCCUCC
This is a long non-coding RNA of Bolinopsis microptera, 963 nucleotides long. RefSeq lists it as uncharacterized. NCBI's taxonomy places the organism in Eukaryota, Metazoa, Ctenophora, Tentaculata, Lobata, Bolinopsidae. The record is from RefSeq and is a predicted model, not a curated record. The transcript has 4 exons.